CCUCUCCCACAACCUGACUCCAUACCACGUUCUGGCCCAUUUUCUGACUCCCUCACAAGGCUGGGGCUUCCAUGGACACAAGGGCUGUGUCCCCCAGCCCCACAUAGGGCUGGUCACAUGGGGGGUUCAUGUUGAGUGAACAAGAGAAGGAAUGGAGCGGCUGUGCAGAACUUUGGAAGACGUGUGGGUGGAAUGGGACUCAAUGAAAGAGGAAGAGGCGGAAGGAGGCGAGGCCCCCUCCUCCUCUGCCCCCCACGGACCCCUCAUCCUGAGUGGCUGGGCCCCAGCAAGUGAGCGGCAGACCAGCAGCGUCCUGACUGCUGGGAGCGAUGACUCAGCUGCCAUCUGUUACUUAAUGAGAAGAUGGCAAGCCAAUUGGCGUGCUCCCCCGCUCUCUUUAAUAUGGCACAUCGAAAAAUGUGACUUUAGUGAUCUAUCUUUUAAUGAUUCUGACUUGCUCACUCUUACUUCUUUUAAUUCAGCAGCAAAUAAGCCUGUGAUUUGCCCAGGAAUCCCAACAGGGGAUUCUUUUGAUUUUAUGUUGGGGGUUUGGGUCUUUUUUUAGGGGACAGGAAGGCUUUGCCAGGGUUACACCUUCCUCACUCUGCCAUCAGAAGGAGCCCGUUCCAUCCCAGGGUUUGUUCUUUGAAUCACAACGAAAUGGGACCCAGGAAAGUCCCACAACCCAGCUCACUUCAGAGAGGACAAUCUACAGGCGACAAGCUGGCCUUGCAGUGUGAAGCCGAGGCCACACCGUCAGGGAAGGUGGGGAGACCAGGGUCCCAGGCUGCACCUGAGCCUGCACGACCUGGGGAAGGCCUCUCCCCUUCUCCAGCCUCCAGUUCUCUGGCUGGAGAAGGGAACGGGCCUGGCUGAUCCCAGGGUCCUGAGGUUUGAUGCUGAGUGUAGGAGAGUUCUUCUGGGCAGGUUUUCUAGUGUUUGGAUGGGCACCUGCCUCCUUUGGGAACUAGGCAAUGUUUAAGAGUGGACCCUGCCUCCACCUCAUGUGUCUUAUAUGGCCUUGGGCAAGUCCCUGGGUUCAAGUCUGUAAAUUGGGAAGGGCGAUGGUGCCCACCUACCUGGCAAAGCCCUGGGGAAUGAACACAUCCAUCCGCACAGGUGCUUGGCCCACUGACAGGGAAAAGGAGGCACCCUGAGACAUCGGCUGCAGGCUAUGACCACCCGCUCUUCUCGGUGAGCAGAGCCCAGCAGAAGGACAUCUGGCCAAGAAGUGGUGGCCGUGUGCACAACUCAGCCAGAGGAGGGGGCACAGCCCUGUCACCAGGAACAUCCCCUCACCUCCCUAGGCACUGGCCUGACUUUGGCCUGGCCUCUCCUGUGACCCCAGGAUUUGGAGAAAAGUCUCAGGGAAGGGCUGACUGACUACCUGGGCUAGAUCCUCACCCCUGGACCAGUCAGCUGUGGUCAGAAGGCAGAUUGUCCAAGAACAGUCUGUUCCCAGGGAUCGUCUAGCCCCAGGGUUUUCUGGCCAUAGCUUCAAGCUCAGGAGGCCACAGCCUGUAGCAAAAACAAGGGUUUGGGAGCACAACAAACCAGGGUUUGAGUCUGUUUCUCGGCUUGGGAUGGAGACAUCUUUGAGACUCAGUUUCCCCAUCUGUUCAGCUGGCAAGCCCACUCACCGCUGGCAUGAGGAAUUAAUGAAAUAAUGAGGGGCUAGGCCAUGGCGAAAAAUCAGGGGCUCACCGUGUCUCCAAAAGGGCUGACCGGCUUUUCCUUGCUCUUGACAAAUGUGGCCCCUGAGCGUCCAGGUGCGGUGCCCCUCCACUCCCAGCACGGAGUCCCCCUCUACCUUCAAGCUGGCCACCAGCGCCUCCCUCCCCUGUCUGGACAGAGGGCCCGUGGGGGUGCUGAGAUCUGGCCACGUGCUCUGCCUCAGUCCAAAAGCCACACUCACGUGACCAUCGACAGUGGAUUGAUGAAAUUAAGCACAGAUGGCUACUUUGUUGUUGUUCUUUGAACUGACAGCUGCUGGUAUAAAAAUAAAUUAAAUUAAAUUUCACAGAAGUCAGACUUUUUUUUGUAUUUUUUUUUAAAAAUGAUCUAAGUUUUUCUGUGUUGUUGUCGUUAAAUUGUUUUCUUUCUUUUUAACAUACGGAGGCAGAGAAAACUCCAGGGCAGCAGAAACAAGAAUUGCAAGGAGAAGCUCCAGUGCGACCCCAGGAUUUGGAGACAACCCCAUCCAACCCUCCCAUAGCCCACAGCCCUCAGAGCUCCGGAAGGCCACGGAGCUGCCAGGUUCCAAUCUUGACUUCUUUGUCUUUCAAGCUAAGGGCCAGGAUGUCAAAACAGUCCUGGGUUUGCAGCCAGGUUUGGACACCCACUCACCCUGCGACCUUGGGCAAGUCAUUUUCUUCCUCUGCACCUCAUUUUCCUCGCCCGUAAAAAGGGGAUAAUAACAGCGCCUCCCUGAGGACAGUCAUCGUGCCUGGCACCUAAGCACUCAGCUGCAGUUCUUGGCUUAUUAUUAUUGGCUGCAUGACCUUGAGUAAAUAGAGAAUCUUUACUCAGUGAAAGGAUUCUGAGAGAAGUCUCCAGCCCGCCUGUCUCACAGCAGGCUCUGGAAUCUCAGUGCCCCCAUAGCUGGUCUCACCCACCCUCUCCACCCACCUCCCUUCCCUCUUCACACCCUGGGCCCCUGGCCGGCGCUAGGCACAGCCAUUUGCACACAGAGAAGAAAUAGGAGGCUUGGUGGUCUGGGAGCCCGGAGCAGACAUCUAUUCUCUGCCCAGCCCUCCCUCCCAUGUGCCCAGAAACUCCCUUCCCCUUCCCCAUGGUUAAGCCAGGUGCAGCCUGUUCUUGGACAACCUGCCUUCUGGCCACAGCUUACUGGUCCAUAGGUGAGCAUCUAACCUAGGUAGCCAAUCACCCUGUCCCUGAGAUGUUGCUAAUGAGAACUGAGAAAGAGAGAGAGCCACCUUGCAUGGAGUGGCAAGCUACAAACCUUCGGAGCUGCCCGUGGCAUAUUUCCUGCCAUGUGGAAGAAGGUGGUCUGGAGAGAGAGUGAGGCUGGCCAAGAGAAGGACAGAGAUGAGAGAGGAGGGACGGGCCCCGGUUUCACUCCUUCCUGCAUCCUUCCUGAGUCCUCGCCCUUCCCGCAACUCAGGGGCUCUGCUCAGCCAUGGGCCUCUCUUUCUGCCUCCGUGGCUCCAGUCAGGCUGUCGUCACUGUGACCAAAUUGCUCUACUUGUCCCUCGCUAGCCAGUGGAGGGGGACAGCAGGGCAGGGCUGCAGAUUAAGAAUGGAGGACUCUCCAAAAAGGGAGAGGCCAGUUCUUUUUUUUUUUUUUUUUUUUUUUUUUUUUUUUUUUGAGACAGAGUUUCGCUCUUGUUGCCCAGGCUGGAGUGCAAUGGCGCGAUCUCGGCUCACCACAACCGCUGCCUCCCGUGUUCAA
RNAcentral lists this long non-coding RNA (3412 nucleotides) under Homo sapiens (human). RNAcentral's name for it is "non-protein coding lnc-CCNK-3:1". The record is from RNAcentral. Lineage: Eukaryota; Metazoa; Chordata; Mammalia; Primates; Hominidae.